GACGAACGCUGGCGGCGUGCUUAACACAUGCAAGUCGAGCGGAAAGGCCCUGCUUUUGUGGGGUGCUCGAGUGGCGAACGGGUGAGUAACACGUGAGUAACCUGCCCUUGACUUUGGGAUAACUUCAGGAAACUGGGGCUAAUACCGGAUAGGAGCUCCUGCUGCAUGGUGGGGGUUGGAAAGUUUCGACGGUUGGGGAUGGACUCGCGGCUUAUCAGCUUGUUGGUGGGGUAGUGGCUUACCAAGGCUUUGACGGGUAGCCGGCCUGAGAGGGUGACCGGCCACAUUGGGACUGAGAUACGGCCCAGACUCCUACGGGAGGCAGCAGUGGGGAAUAUUGCACAAUGGGCGGAAGCCUGAUGCAGCAACGCCGCGUGCGGGAUGACGGCCUUCGGGUUGUAAACCGCUUUCGCCUGUGACGAAGCGUGAGUGACGGUAAUGGGUAAAGAAGCACCGGCUAACUACGUG
RNAcentral lists this ribosomal RNA (468 nucleotides) under uncultured bacterium. RNAcentral describes it as "partial 16S ribosomal RNA". It matches the Rfam family "Bacterial small subunit ribosomal RNA", at positions 28 to 507 of the family's 1533-position model. The record is from RNAcentral.